Molecule: ribosomal RNA, 855 nt
Filed under: uncultured bacterium
Lineage: Bacteria
Description: bacterial SSU rRNA
Rfam family: Bacterial small subunit ribosomal RNA
Source: RNAcentral
AGAGUUUGAUCAUGGCUCAGAUUGAACGCUGGCGGCAGGCUUAACACAUGCAAGUCGAACGGUAACAGGGAGAAGCUUGCUUCUUUGCUGACGAGUGGCGGACGGGUGAGUAAUGCUUGGGAAUCUGGCUUAUGGAGGGGGAUAACUACGGGAAACUGUAGCUAAUACCGCGUAAUAUCUUCGGAUUAAAGGGUGGGACUUUCGGGCCACCUGCCAUAAGAUGAGCCCAAGUGGGAUUAGGUAGUUGGUGGGGUAAAGGCCUACCAAGCCGACGAUCUCUAGCUGGUCUGAGAGGAUGGCCAGCCACACUGGAACUGAGACACGGUCCAGACUCCUACGGGAGGCAGCAGUGGGGAAUAUUGCACAAUGGGGGGAACCCUGAUGCAGCCAUGCCGCGUGAAUGAAGAAGGCCUUCGGGUUGUAAAGUUCUUUCGGUGAUGAGGAAGGUGUUUGUUUUAAUAGAACAAGCAAUUGACGUUAGUCACAGAAGAAGCACCGGCUAACUCCGUGCCAGCAGCCGCGGUAAUACGGAGGGUGCGAGCGUUAAUCGGAAUGACUGGGCGUAAAGGGCACGCAGGCGGUGACUUAAGUGAGAUGUGAAAGCCCCGGGUUUAACCUGGGAAUUGCAUUUCAUACUGGGUCGCUAGAGUAUUUUAGGGGGGGGUAGAAUUCCACGUGUAGCGGUGAGAUGCGUAGAGAUGUGGAGGAAUACCGAAGGCGAAGGCAGCCCCUUGGGAAUAUACUGACGCUCAUGUGCGAAAGCGUGGGGAGCAAACAGGAUUAGAUACCCUGGUAGUCCACGCUGUAAACGCCGUCUGAUUUGGGGAUUGGGCUUAGAGCUUGGUGCCCGUAGCU